Molecule: ribosomal RNA, 820 nt
Filed under: Rhipicephalus sanguineus (brown dog tick)
Lineage: Eukaryota; Metazoa; Arthropoda; Arachnida; Ixodida; Ixodidae
Description: SSU rRNA
Rfam family: Eukaryotic small subunit ribosomal RNA
Source: RNAcentral
AAUGUUUUCAUUGAUCAGAACGAAAGUCAGAGGUUCGAAGGCGAUCAGAUACCGCCCUAGUUCUGACCAUAAACGAUGCCAACCAGCGAUCCGCGUGAGUUACUCAAAUGACUCGGCGGGCAGCUUCCGGGAAACCAAAGUAUUUGGGUUCCGGGGGAAGUAUGGUUGCAAAGCUGAAACUUAAAGGAAUUGACGGAAGGGCACCACCAGGAGUGGAGCCUGCGGCUUAAUUUGACUCAACACGGGAAAACUUACCCGGCCCGGACACUGGGAGGAUUGACAGAUUGAGAGCUCUUUCUUGAUUCGGUGGAUGGUGGUGCAUGGCCGUUCUUAGUUGGUGGAGCGAUUUGUCUGGUUAAUUCCGAUAACGAACGAGACUCUAGCCUAUUAAAUAGGUGCGGGGUUCCCAGCACCUUACAACCUUCUUAGAGGGACAAGCGGCUCCUAGCCGCACGAAACAGAGCAAUAACAGGUCUGUGAUGCCCUUAGAUGUCCGGGGCCGCACGCGCGCUACACUGAAGGAAGCAGCGUGUCUUUAUCCCUGUCUGAAAAGACUGGGUAACCCGUGGAACUUCUUUCGUGAUUGGGAUAGGGGCUUGCAAUUGUUCCCCUUGAACGAGGAAUUCCCAGUAAGCGCGAGUCAUAAGCUCGCGUUGAUUACGUCCCUGCCCUUUGUACACACCGCCCGUCGCUACUACCGAUUGAAUGAUUUAGUGAGGUCUUCGGACCGAUGUCCGGCGCGGCCUUUCGGUUGCGCCGGUCUUUAACAAGUAAUAACCGACAUGAUCCCUAUAACUAAUAAGACCGCUCACCAAGUCAG